RNAcentral lists this transfer RNA (77 nucleotides) under Bacteriovoracaceae bacterium. RNAcentral's name for it is "tRNA-Pro". It matches the Rfam family "tRNA". From Rfam's summary of the family: Transfer RNA (tRNA) molecules are approximately 80 nucleotides in length. Their secondary structure includes four short double-helical elements and three loops (D, anti-codon, and T loops). Lineage: Bacteria; Pseudomonadati; Bdellovibrionota; Bacteriovoracia; Bacteriovoracales; Bacteriovoracaceae. The record is from RNAcentral.
CGGAACGUAGCGCAGCUUGGUAGCGCACCUGCUUUGGGAGCAGGUGGUCGCUGGUUCGAAUCCAGUCGUUCCGACCA